This 342-nucleotide ribosomal RNA is filed under the name uncultured bacterium. RNAcentral describes it as "bacterial SSU rRNA". It matches the Rfam family "Bacterial small subunit ribosomal RNA", at positions 8 to 334 of the family's 1533-position model. The record is from RNAcentral.
AGAGUUCGAUUAUGGCUCAGGAUGAACGCUGGCGGCGUGCUUAACACAUGCAAGUCGAGCGAAGCGGCUGAAUUGAUUCUUCGGAUGAUUUUCGGUUGACUGAGCGGCGGACGGGUGAGUAACGCGUGGGUGACCUGCCCCAUACCGGGGGAUAACAGCUGGAAACGGCUGCUAAUACCGCAUAAGCGCACAGAGCUGCAUGGCUCGGUGUGAAAAGCUCCGGCGGUACAGGAUGGACCCGCGUCUGAUUAGCUAGUUGGUAAGGUAACGGCUUACCAAGGCGACGAUCAGUAGCCGACCUGAGAGGGUGAUCGGCCACAUUGGAACUGAGACACGGUCCAA